Long non-coding RNA from Poecilia latipinna (sailfin molly), 2471 nucleotides. RefSeq lists it as uncharacterized. The transcript has 2 exons. Lineage: Eukaryota; Metazoa; Chordata; Actinopteri; Cyprinodontiformes; Poeciliidae. The record is from RefSeq and is a predicted model, not a curated record.
UUUAUUCUUGCCGUUUCUUUCCCCCUGGCAUUUUUUUUUUUUUUUUUUGUAUUUAAAGAUUUUAUUAAUCGAAUUAACAAUUUGGUGUCUUUGGAGAAAAAAAGAAAAUAUUUAGUUGCGUUUGCGGUUUUGAUUUAUUAGUAGCAUGACAGGAAGAGACGGGGUGGGGGAAGAAAUCGAACGACUGUAGCCUCAGCUUACAGUACGACGCGCCUGCUUCACCUCGGAGCCGCACGGCGCCGUCUGAUCCACUACCAACUGAGUCAACAAAUCCAAAUGAAAAUCAUUAAUGACUAAUGAGAUUUAUUUUACACAUUUCACUUUGUGCAGACAGCAAAUGCGUUCCUGUAUGAGGAUAAAACGAUUCAAAUCUCCUCUGCGUCGUGUCAGAAUGUUUAAAUAAAGACGUGCCCUCUUGAUGCUUUUUGAUACCGUUUACUAACGUAUCAAAAAGCAUCAAGCAGCGCAGAGACGAUGCAACACGGUCUGACUUCUGUCCUAGAAAACCCGUUCAACUUUCCGUCCUAAAAACGCUGCAUGUUGCAUUAUCUAUCCACUCGUAGAAAAAGUCUGGUGGGUAUUUUUGGCACGGUGUGUUGCAUCAGUCUGACUGCUGCAGCAACAAAGUGCAAAUAAGGUUGAAUUACAGUCCUGCUCACCAUUAUUGGCACCCAUGAAGUUUAAGUACAUAUAAUGGAAUAUUUACUGAAGGAAAUUCAUCAAGUGAAACAACAUUUUACUGCUGAUAGCUUGUGCUUGAUGCAAAACAGCAAAUGAUAAAAAAACAUUUAAAAAGAUAAACAUUAUGAGGAAAACAAAGAAAAAACAUCAUUUUUACCAUGCCAAUGGUAUUGGCACCCUUUGCUGCAAAUCAAUAUGAAAACCCAAUUUGGCUCACCUGUUGCAAAUCAUACAUAAAGAUCACUUGUGAUGGACUGCCGCCACACAUGUGACAUGAAUUAACCAAUGAAUAAUCAUGCUGGUGCUUUAAAAGCCACCUGUUAGUUCAUCUCCACAUGUGACAAUGGUAAAGACAAAGGAGCUGUCUGAGGACAUAAGAAAUGCUAUUAUUUUCAAGCACAAGUCCUCCAAAGGAUAUAAAGCCAUCUCCAAAGACCUUGGUGUCCCUGUUUCAACGGUGCGUAAUGUUAUUAAUAACAGGCAUAGAACGGUCAAGAACCUCCCUGGCCGUGGGGGGAAGAGAAAAAUUGAUGACAGAAGUCUUCGACGGUUGGUGCGAAUGGUGGAAAAAACACCACAUCUAACAUCUAAAGACCUAAAGACCAGCCUGGAGCAGUCUGGUGUGAUUGUUUCAACAAGUACCAUACGCCGCAUACUAAACAAAGUGGGGCUUUAUGGGUGGAGGCCAAGGACAUCACAAGCAUUAUGAAAUCAGAAGAUUAUCAAGCAAUUCUAGAGCGAAAUGUCUUGCCCAGUGUAAGGAAACUUGGUUUGCGGCGAAGAUCCUGGGUCCUCCAGCAAGACAACGACCCAAAGCACACCUCCAAAAGCACACAGGCAUUGUUGAAAGGGAAAAAAUGGACUGUUUUAAAAUGACCAGCAAUGAGUCUUGAUCUCAAUCCAAUUGAAAAUCUUUGGGUGGAGCUGAAAUCUGCCAUUGGAGGAAGGAACCCUGCAAAUGUACAAGAGCUUGAGCAUAUUGCAAAAGAAGUGUGGGAGAAAAUGCAAGAAGCUUUUAGAUGAAUAUAAGAAACGUUUGGAGGCCGUCAUUGCUGCCAAAGGCUGUGCAACCUAAUAUUAAAGAGAGAUGUCAAUAUUAGUGCACACGCUGGUUUUCUGUUUUGUCCUUUGGAAUUAAAAUAUUUAUGUUGAAAUGGUAAUUGUCUUUGUUAGAUUACUUUGGACCUCAAAUUGAAAGAUCCUGCUGAUAUAAGUUUUGAACAUUUCCAUUUAUUUCUGAAUAUAUUCACUCAGCUACGCAAAUCAUGAAGGGGUGCCAAUAAUGGUGGGCAGGACUGUAAGUGGAAAAAGCAACAGCCUGUUGCAUAACAGAGCUGCUUUGCUUUUUCCUCUACCGACAACCAGCUACUCUAGUUGCCUUUUUGCCAAAGUAAAAAGCUACUUAGAUUUUUUUUUAUUGUUCAUGCAACCUUUAAUUAGAACAUGUAUUUUAGAGGAAGUGUGUGUGUGUUAGUAGUUUAUUUCAAGCUGGGAAGUUCCUUUGUGACAGUGAAGACUAGAUGAACAAACUAAGUAAUUAACUUAAAACAAUAAGAAUUUUAAGAGGUUAACAAAUUGAAAAUAAUCUACAACUUGCUUCAAAUCACAGAUUAUAUUCACUUAAUGGGCAAAUGUGACGGUAAGCUAAGAGGAAGCCUAAACUAAAGCAACUAGGAGCAAGUAAGGAUGGAAAUCCCCUCAGUUUAAAAUCACACUAAUGUUGUUUUUACUGCUUCCUGCCAUCAGUGUGUGUGAUCAUGUCAUAAAUUUCUUUAAAAAAGUAAAAAAAA